GCCCGGAUGGUCUAGCGGUAAGACACCCUUCAGUCCAGGCUCCACCCGAAUCUGCUCUAACAAAUAACCAGGUAUGAUUCUCGCUUUGGGUAUACCAUAUAUGCGAGAGGUCCCCGGUUCGAUCCCGGGUUCGGGCC
This 137-nucleotide transfer RNA is filed under the name Penicillium paxilli ATCC 26601. Its description in RNAcentral is "tRNA-Und (NNN) (tRNA-Und-NNN-1-1)". The record is from RNAcentral. Lineage: Eukaryota; Fungi; Ascomycota; Eurotiomycetes; Eurotiales; Aspergillaceae.